GCGGGCGUAGCCAAGUGGUUAAGGCACCGGAUUGUGGUUCCGGCACUCGCGAGUUCAAACCUCGUCGUCCGCC
This 73-nucleotide transfer RNA is filed under the name Synechococcaceae cyanobacterium SM2_3_60. Its description in RNAcentral is "tRNA-His". It matches the Rfam family "tRNA". Rfam says of the family: Transfer RNA (tRNA) molecules are approximately 80 nucleotides in length. Their secondary structure includes four short double-helical elements and three loops (D, anti-codon, and T loops). The record is from RNAcentral. Lineage: Bacteria; Bacillati; Cyanobacteriota; Cyanophyceae; Synechococcales; Synechococcaceae.